Molecule: transfer RNA, 82 nt
Filed under: Bifidobacterium phasiani
Lineage: Bacteria; Bacillati; Actinomycetota; Actinomycetes; Bifidobacteriales; Bifidobacteriaceae
Description: Bifidobacterium sp. 6T3 tRNA-Leu
Rfam family: tRNA
About the family: Transfer RNA (tRNA) molecules are approximately 80 nucleotides in length. Their secondary structure includes four short double-helical elements and three loops (D, anti-codon, and T loops).
Source: RNAcentral
GCCCCCGUGGCGAAAUGGUAUACGCAGCCGACUUAAAAUCGGCCGCUUCGGCUUGUGGGUUCGAGUCCCACCGGGGGCACCA